This 73-nucleotide transfer RNA is filed under the name Desmophyllum pertusum. Its description in RNAcentral is "Lophelia pertusa tRNA". It matches the Rfam family "tRNA". From Rfam's summary of the family: Transfer RNA (tRNA) molecules are approximately 80 nucleotides in length. Their secondary structure includes four short double-helical elements and three loops (D, anti-codon, and T loops). Lineage: Eukaryota; Metazoa; Cnidaria; Anthozoa; Scleractinia; Caryophylliidae. The record is from Rfam by way of RNAcentral.
GGUUUCAUAGCUCAGUUGGUAGAGCAUUGCAAUAGUAACGAGGAGAUCAUGGGUUCAAAUGCCGUUGAAGCCA